UGUAACCGGUGGGCUGCAGGUAGGGCAGAAAGAAGACAACAGCGUCAGCCUGCAUGUUGUUUACAGUACAAGAUGUCUGCUGGAGCAGAGCCAGAGCAGAAACAAGGCUUUUAUUUUUCCUGCCAGUCAGCUGGAAAGACAAAAAGAAACAUCUCCUAACCCGAGCCGCCCUGAGCAAACUAACCUGCAGGUACUUUAGUCGGUGUAAUCAGCCGGUGAUGCUGUGUUCACACGCAGAAACCAGGUGGAAAAACUAACUGAACUGAGGAGGAGCGGGAAGCAGCGAUCCCAGACCGUCCCAAACACUGACAAAUUACCACAAGUUUCCGGCGCAAGAGAAAUAUGUGUGUGUGCGUUCAUGACCCAAGCAGAUAAAAAUAUCAAGAGCAAGUCAAAACCACAAGGAAACCAAGCUCUCCCUCCUAAAACCAUGGGAGGAGUUUCACAGAAAUGUCUAAGGCAGCUCUAUAAUAAGAGCCACAAAUGAUUCACCGCUGAUUCUGCAGACAUUAGCGUCAUUGCAUGAUUUAGCUUGCAAUUAUUGUUGGUGGGAGAUUAACACAAAAAGCCAGAGCAGACGUCAUCUGCAGAAGCUUUGACUGCUGCUCUGCUCUUUAACAAUUACCUGUUUAUUAUUCUUUUACUUUUCUUUUUUCUUUUGCUGCCCAAGAGUUCACAGAGUGGGCUAGUAUUUAUGAUCCCAGAGGAGGAGCAGCACAAAGACGCGCUGAAAACGACAGCAGAUGAAGCAGAGCGACACGCGAUCAAGUUUUUAAGGAGUGCUGAUGUGAGAGAGCUGCUUAACUGUAAAUUACAUCUGACCAAGUUCCCAUAAAACGGGUUAUAAAAGGAAGCAGAAGAUAGUUUAGUGGCGAGAUGAGCAGAGAGGAGAAUAUUCUCUGUAGCGGAUCUAAUGUCAAGACUCAGAGUGAAACUGGGAGAAACUUUCAGGUCUGAUUAUGGUAAUUCCUGCCUUUUCUGGGAGCAGCAACAACAAGAACUUAAAGCCUCAAACAAAUAGUGAGGCUUAAAAAUAUUAAAAAUAUUCUUGAGCAGUGAGUGACUGAAACGCAGUCAGAUUUCUAUAAACAAGGGACGUGUAAAUCAUUCCAGAUUUAAAACAAAAGGUCUGCCAAACUGCCUAAAUCCUUUAUGCUCAAAGAAACAGAGUGUAAAAAAUGGAUCUGGGUCACAGUGUGAAUGUAGCCUCAGCUGCCUGCGUUUUUCUUAAAUCAAAAAAAUAUAAAAGAAUUAUUAGAAAUGUAUACAGCUCCCGCAUUUUCAGUAUUUUGAAUUGAUUCAGACUUCCCAGGACUAAGAAUUAUGAUUCUUUAUAGAAUAGAUUUUUUUUCCUGCACCUCUAAACCGUACACGUUUAAAAAGCAGAAGUGGAGCCUCCUGCACAAAAAACAAGAAUGCAGCAAAUGGUUUCUGAACAAGUCAACAAAAUACUUGUUUUUUUUCAGCAGCCAUUGUACAUCGCAUACAGCAGUGAAAGAAAACAAGUAAUACUUGUAACCAUAUAGCUUGAAAUUGGCUAUUUUAAUAGUGACUAGCAUUGUUAGCACAAUUACCAUCUCCAUCUAGUUCACUCCAGGCUGCAAUGUGAACGUGGCCUUCUUGAGGGCCAAAAUUGGCCCCCGGGCCACACUUUGGACACCCCUGACCUAAGCCGUUCAGCUGGAUUGGGUUCUCUCUCCUUCUGUCAUGUUUUUCUCACAGAAACUCGCCUGAGCCGCUACAUGGAAGCGACUCCGCGACUCCAACGGACAGGUGCUCCUCUUCUUUAAUUACGUCCAUCUCUCGCUCUGUAGAGCAAACAGCUCCCUCCUCCUCCCUCCGCUGAAGAACAAACACGCUCUUCCUUCAUGUGCACAUCCCUCUGCAGCUCAUAGAUCGCUGGCUGUCUCCACGUGCAGGAUUUUCAUUACAGACCACGUCCACGGCAAAUAUUGGUUCAGGGGAGAUGUUUCAUUUUCUGUGGAAGAGUAAACGUCGGCUGCAGUCUUUCCGUCUGCAGGCCGCCGAACCGGGUUUUGUUUUUGUUUUGUUUUGUUUCUGCGGCGCACGACUCGGUAAUGAGCUGAAGAGCAGAAUAUGAAGCGGGAGAUAAAUGGCACCGCAUCUCUGAAAAGGCAGAGCAGAACGAACAGAAGGGACUUCAAUUUUCUGAUAACCAGCCGAGGUUGCCAUAGAUACAACAUCCUGUACAAGAGCGAGCGCCGGCCCCUCUCCUCUUCCUCAUAACCGUUUUUCUGCUCCCAGCCCUCGUUUUUCCCCUUACUCUGUCUCUUUUCACUUUGCUCUUCAUCAUAAACGAGGGAUGAAGGAGCCUCCUGCAACUCUCGGCUCCUUUGCUCUCUGCUGCGUUGCCAUAGAAACAGGAGGAUGGAGAUGUACGUUAUGCUUUUCCCCCACCGUGAGAAGCAGACGGAGCAAUGAUGAAGACAAAAAAAAACGAUAAAAGGAAGAGAGGACAUAAAACAGAUUCAAAACCUGAGAGAUGUUCUGGGUUUUACUAGGAAAUGUUUAGUCACAUGAAACAUCAUUUUAACAAUUCAUCCGACAUAAAAACAGAAAUGGUCCUAAAACGCCACAUCCCCAAAAUAAACUGGAGUUUUAGUUUCCAGAAAACUCGAUGUUUUCUGGGAACAGAAGCCUGUAAGUUGGAACAAAAAAGCCCAAGCAGACCACAACCCGGCCAUCAGCCAACUGUGUGCUUUGCUUCUGCCAACUUUAUGACUCUUUUUGGUUGUUUUUGAAACCAGUUUUUGCCAGUCUGGUGAUUUUGGCCAACUUGGCACCUGAUUCGGAAACUGUGUCUAAUUAGGUCGAGUUUUACUCUCCACCUCCCUUUAAGGGAUGCUUUGUGAUUUAUUUCAAUUCUGGGUCUAAUUUCAUUAAGUUCUGCACCAAUUUGGGUCAGAUUUUGUGCCUCAUUUUGGACGUUCCAGUGUGAAUGUUGAUGAAUUACGCAUCUCAAGGGGAAAUUUUGUGGAUAAAAUUCUCAGCUCCACCUGUUUAGCCUCAUAUCAAACAUUUCUGAGUCUGAUUUUGCCCAGUUUGGCAUUUCAAUUUGGUUGGCUGAACAUCUUCUUUUGUUGGACUGAGCUUAAUUUCAUGCAACCUUAACUCUUACCAGUUAAAUCUAGUUUGGUGUUUUGCUUCCAAUUUUCCCCAAAUGUCAGUUUAAUUUAUGCUAAAUUCCAGAAUAUUUUCCAUCUAAAGUGGACAAAUUUGACUUAUGCUAACAUUUGGACCAGAUUUAUGCCUCAUUUCUGUCAACUUUGGGAAUCAAGUUUGGUGAAUUUUACAUCCAAUUUCAGCCACGUUUGUGUCUCAAUUUGACUUCAUUCUUGCCCAUUUCAGCCAACUUUUUGAAUUAUUUCAGCCGAUCUGGGUUUUCCCCUCUGCGACGCAGAAUUUGGCUGACUUUGUGUUGUACUCCGUACAGAUUAGCAUUAAAUUUUGGUACAUUUUAUUUUAAUCCGGUCCAUUUGGCAUCUCAUUUAGGCCCAUCCUGAUAACAAAUUUUGCUGGACAAUAAAUUGUCCCAGAAGUUAUUCAAGAUAAAAUUACAGUGUGGUUUCGAGACCAUUUUCAAGUAGCGUUAUAGUAACGGCAUAACAAUGCCAGAAAAGAUUCUCACAGAUCAAUAAACUUCAAAUUCUAAUGAAUAUUUAUCGCUAGACAUGGGAGACAUUUUAAAUAUCCACAAUAAAUAAGCAACUGAAACAACAAAUAAAAUUAAUUAUGAAGUCUGUAAACCAAAUUAUCCUUCAAAAAUAUGUCCAGUUGAGACCAAACUUUAACUCUCAUUUUGGCACAUUUUAUGGUUCCGUUUUUAGGCAAAAAUAAGAACUGAAAACUAAAAACUUCUGCACAACUCAGCACUCUUUCUGCGAUCAUCAUCUUCCUGAUUAUAUGAGAAACAUUUGCUGAGUUGCAGGAAAACUUGGAUUUUUUUCCCACCCUCUUCUCUGGGUGACUCAUGAGGAAACACUCGAGCACCAGAGAAGAAAGAGAAACCAAAGCGGAGGAAGAUGAGGAGGAGACCAGCAGCUGACCGAGGAGAAACCCAACAGGUGUUCAGCUCGCCACUGGAAAGGUCAAGCAGCCAUUUUGCAGAAGGUGAUUGCUGCCGGACUUCGUCAGACCUCUUGCAAAGCUGCGGCUCUCGAAGCGAUGGAGUCACUUCCUUCCAGCCAUCGGCGGCUCUUAACUUCUCCAUCUGCUACAGAGGGGCGCAGAUCGCCGUUUGGCAUGACGACGCAGCUGUGAGGUUUGACGUCUGCAGCUGCGUGGGCGGGCACAGCUGCAGGUUUCUGUGAAGAAACGACUCCGAGAAAGUUUCUGCGUCACCCGAGACAGGAAGUAGGAACGUAAUCAAGAACUGAAGCUGCUGCAGGACGAUGCAUACAGGAACGCCACUUCGCACUUCCUGCAGCAGUUUCUGCUCAAUGUUUUCCUCCUGUGAUCAGUAUAAACACUUUGGUGUGCAACAUCCAGGAAAUAUUCAGGGUCUUCUCAGAAACAUAAGAAUUUCAACCCGUGCUCACACUCCCGCGUGCUUUUUUUCGUUGAUGUAUCAAGUUUCUACGGCUGCAAAAGAAGCUACUAACUUCACGCUGAAUAAAUAAAGAAUAAAGAAACACGGAUGCAAACAAGAACAUGACCCUGGUAUCCACUGGUGGGCACACUUCCCCCACUCCAUUAAUCACAGAGCUGAAGUUUCAUGUAACACUUCAGCUAACUUUUAAAACGUCUAGCGCACUUAGCUUCCCCUAAAUAAUUUUUCCCAGAUAAAUUCUAAAGCACCAACUUGUAAUAAACUUGGUUAUGUUAUAAACAUCAUUUAUUUAAACGUAUAUAUUGAUGCUCUUAUUUCAAAGUGCAUUAAAACUGUUUACUCAGCAGCUCUAUUUCCUCUCCAUUUUCGUUUUUCAACUUUACUUAAAGCAUAAAACAUUCUGGAACAAAAUAAAACAGGAAAAAAAAUUCAAAAAAUAUAAACAAAGGGCA
Molecule: long non-coding RNA, 5022 nt
Organism: Xiphophorus hellerii (green swordtail)
Lineage: Eukaryota; Metazoa; Chordata; Actinopteri; Cyprinodontiformes; Poeciliidae
Exons: 2
Source: RefSeq, a predicted model, not a curated record